AGAUUGAACGCUGGCGGCAUGCCUUACACAUGCAAGUCGAACGGCAGCACGGGGGGCAACCCUGGUGGCGAGUGGCGAACGGGUGAGUAAUGCAUCGGAACGUGCCCAGUAGUGGGGGAUAACUAGUCGAAAGAUUAGCUAAUACCGCAUACGACCUAUGGGUGAAAGCGGGGGAUUCGCAAGAACCUCGCGCUAUCGGAGCGGCCGAUGUCUGAUUAGCUAGUUGGCGGGUAAAAGCCCACCAAGGCUUCGAUCAGUAGCUGGUCUGAGAGGACGACCAGCCACACGUGGGACUGAGACACGGCCCAGACUCCUACGGGAGCAGCGAGUGGGGAAUUUUGGACAAGUGGGCGCAAGGCCUGAUCCAGCCAUGCCGCGUGCGGGAAGAACGGCUUACGGUGUAACCGUCUUUUGGCCAAGGAACGAAACGGCGACGACGCGGAAUACUUCGU
RNAcentral lists this ribosomal RNA (452 nucleotides) under uncultured soil bacterium. RNAcentral's name for it is "bacterial SSU rRNA". It matches the Rfam family "Bacterial small subunit ribosomal RNA", at positions 26 to 473 of the family's 1533-position model. The record is from RNAcentral.